GUCACCUAGCUAACCCUCUAGACUGCUCUAAGGCUGUAUCCUAAAGGUUAAGUCACCUAGCUAACCCUCUAGACUGCUCUAAGGCUGUAUCCUAAAGGUUAAGUCACCUAGCUAACCCUCUAGACUGCUCUAAGGCUGUAUCCUAAAGGUUAAGUCACCUAGCUAACCCUCUAGACUGCUCUAAGGCUGUAUCCUAAAGGUUAAGUCACCUAGCUAACCCUCUAGACUGCUCUAAGGCUGUAUCCUAAAGGUUAAGUCACCUAGCUAACCCUCUAGACUGCUCUAAGGCUGUAUCCUAAAGGUUAAGUCACCUAGCUAACCCUCUAGACUGCUCUAAGGCUGUAUCCUAAAGGUUAAGUCACCUAGCUAACCCUCUAGACUGCUCUAAGGCUGUAUCCUAAUGGUUAAGUCACCUAGCUAACCCUCUAGACUGCUCUAAGG
This is a long non-coding RNA of Oncorhynchus keta (chum salmon), 441 nucleotides long. RefSeq lists it as uncharacterized. The record is from RefSeq and is a predicted model, not a curated record. Lineage: Eukaryota; Metazoa; Chordata; Actinopteri; Salmoniformes; Salmonidae. The transcript is spliced from 3 exons.